This 547-nucleotide ribosomal RNA is filed under the name uncultured Glomus. Its description in RNAcentral is "SSU rRNA". It matches the Rfam family "Eukaryotic small subunit ribosomal RNA", at positions 548 to 1098 of the family's 1831-position model. The record is from RNAcentral. Lineage: Eukaryota; Fungi; Glomeromycota; Glomeromycetes; Glomerales; Glomeraceae.
UUGGAGGGCAAGUCUGGUGCCAGCAGCCGCGGUAAUUCCAGCUCCAAUAGCGUAUAUUAAAGUUGUUGCAGUUAAAAAGCUCGUAGUUGAAUUUCGGGAUCAAUAUGUCGGUCGUGCCUUGGUACGUACUGGUAUCAUUGGUUUCUCCUUUCUGACGAACCAUGAUGUCAUUAAUUUGGUGUUAUGGGGAGUUAGGACUGUUACUUUGAAAAAAUUAGAGUGUUUAAAGCAGGCUUGAGCUUGAAUACAUUAGCAUGGAAUAAUGAAAUAGGACGUUCGAACCUAUUUGUUGGUUUCUAGGAUCAACGUAAUGAUUAAUAGGGAUAGUUGGGGGCAUUAGUAUUCAAUUGUCAGAGGUGAAAUUCUUGGAUUUAUUGAAGACUAACUACUGCGAAAGCAUUUGCCAAGGAUGUUUUCAUUAAUCAAGAACGAAAGUUAGGGGAUCGAAGACGAUCAGAUACCGUCGUAGUCUUAACCAUAAACUAUGCCGACUAGGGAUCGGAUGAUGUUAAGUUUUUAAUGACUCAUUCGGCGCCUUACGGGAAAC